CCUACGGGGGGCAGCAGUGAGGAAUAUUGGUCAAUGGGCGCGAGCCUGAACCAGCCAAGUAGCGUGAAGGAUGAAUGCCCUACGGGUUGUAAACUUCUUUUAUAAAGGAAUAAAGUGAGGCACGUGUGCCUUUUUGUAUGUACUUUAUGAAUAAGGAUCGGCUAACUCCGUGCCAGCAGCCGCGGUCAUCCGGCGUAUCCGAGCGGUAUCCGGAUUUAGUGGGUUUAAAGGGAGGGGAGAUGGGUUGUUCAGUCAGCGGUAAAAGCCCGGGGCUCAACCCCGGCGAGCCGUGGAAACUGGCUGUCUUGAGAUGUCGAGAGGUAUGCGGAAUGCGCAGUGUAGCGGUGAAAUGCUUAGAUAUUGCGCAGAACUCCGAUUGCGAAGGCAGCAUACCGGCGGCGAUCUGACGCUGAGGCACGAAAGCGUGGGUAUCGAACAGGAUUAGAUACCCGAGUAGUC
This 459-nucleotide ribosomal RNA is filed under the name uncultured bacterium. Its description in RNAcentral is "partial 16S ribosomal RNA". It matches the Rfam family "Bacterial small subunit ribosomal RNA", at positions 338 to 795 of the family's 1533-position model. The record is from RNAcentral.